This 438-nucleotide long non-coding RNA is filed under the name Hordeum vulgare. RNAcentral describes it as "long non-coding RNA (HVUL_LNC017976)". Lineage: Eukaryota; Viridiplantae; Streptophyta; Magnoliopsida; Poales; Poaceae. The record is from RNAcentral.
CUAUAUCUAGAUCAUAUGCAAACUUGACGAGAUUAUGCGAUUCAAAAUUAAAAUUCCUACACCAGAAAAUAAAAUUACAAGAUUGAAACCCAGCCUUGCACUCCAAUAUUUCAUGUAGAAUCGUACCCUGACUUCCUCCCGAGCAUUGCCUAAUGUUCUUCACGAGUACAUGAUAGUCUGAGGCCACACAAAGUUUAUGCUGCGUAGAUCUUCCGCAAGUGACAUAGCCUCUGGACAUGAAAAGAUUCAAGUGUUGUGGGGUCUAUGACGCCACUUAAUAAUAUUUGCCGAAUUAAGCUCCCUGGUAAAUACCAUUUCCAUUCCUAUUGCCGUCGCUACGCUGCUCCUGUACGACCAUUGUUAUUGCCCCUUUCACAUUAAUUUCAUAUAUAACUCUCCGGCGGUGACAGCCAGCAUUCACAUAGAUCCCUGUCGAAG